CGAGUUGUAAUUUGUAGAGGAUGUUUCGGGUGAAGCCAGGGUCCAAGUCCCUUGGAACAGGACGUCAUAGAGGGUGAGAACCCCGUACCUGGCCGUCGGUGCCCCCCGCUGUGAAACUCCUUCGACGAGUCGAGUUGUUUGGGAAUGCAGCUCUAAAUUGGUGGUAAAUUCCAUCUAAAGCUAAAUACCGGCCAGAGACCGAUAGCGCACAAGUAGAGUGAUCGAAAGAUGAAAAGCACUUUGAAAAGAGAGUUAAAAAGUACGUGAAAUUGUUGAAAGGGAAGCGCUUGCGGCCAGACUUGCCCGCGGUUGCUCAGCCCGCCUUUUGGCGGGUGCACUCUUCCGCGGUCAGGCCAGCAUCGGUUUGGGCGGCCGGAUAAAGGCGUGGGGAACGUGGCCUCCCUUCGGGGAGGUGUUAUAGCCCCGCGCGCAAUGCGACCAGCCCGGACCGAGGUUCGCGCUUUGCUAGGAUGCUGGCGUAAUGGCCGUAAGCGGCCCGUCUUGAAACACGGACCAAGGAGUCUAACAUCUAUGCGAGUGUUUGGGUGUCAAACCCGUGCGCGUAAUGAAAGUGAACGGAGGUGGGAACCGCAAGGUGCACCAUCGACCGAUCCUGAUGUCUUCGGAAGGAUUUGAGUAAGAGCAUAGCUGUUGGGACCCGAAAGAUGGUGAACUAUGCGUGAAUAGGGUGAAGCCAGAGGAAACUCUGGUGGAGGCUCGCAGCGGUUCUGACGUGCAAAUCGAUCGUCAA
This 751-nucleotide ribosomal RNA is filed under the name Coleroa sp. Its description in RNAcentral is "partial large subunit ribosomal RNA". It matches the Rfam family "Eukaryotic large subunit ribosomal RNA", at positions 139 to 908 of the family's 3401-position model. The record is from RNAcentral. Lineage: Eukaryota; Fungi; Ascomycota; Dothideomycetes; Venturiales; Venturiaceae.